This 468-nucleotide ribosomal RNA is filed under the name uncultured bacterium. RNAcentral's name for it is "partial 16S ribosomal RNA". It matches the Rfam family "Bacterial small subunit ribosomal RNA", at positions 28 to 507 of the family's 1533-position model. The record is from RNAcentral.
GACGAACGCUGGCGGCGUGCUUAACACAUGCAAGUCGAACGGAAAGGCCCUGCUUUUGUGGGGUGCUCGAGUGGCGAACGGGUGAGUAACACGUGAGUAACCUGCCCUUGACUUUGGGAUAACUUCAGGAAACUGGGGCUAAUACCGGAUAGGAGCUCCUGCUGCAUGGUGGGGGUUGGAAAGUUUCGGCGGUUGGGGAUGGACUCGCGGCUUAUCAGCUUGUUGGUGGGGUAGUUGCUUACCAAGGCUUUGACGGGUAGCCGGCCUGGGAGGGUGACCGGCCACAUUGGGACUGAGGUACGCCCCAGACUCCUACGGGAGGCAGUAGUGGGAAAUAUUGCCCAGUGGGCGGGAGCCUGAUGCAGCAGCGCCGCGUGCGGGAUGCCGGCCUUCGGGUUGUAAACCGCUUUCGCCUGUGACGAAGCGUGAGUGACGGUAAUGGGUAAAGAAGCACCGGCUAACUACGUG